RNAcentral lists this ribosomal RNA (250 nucleotides) under uncultured bacterium. RNAcentral describes it as "partial 16S ribosomal RNA". It matches the Rfam family "Bacterial small subunit ribosomal RNA", at positions 524 to 773 of the family's 1533-position model. The record is from RNAcentral.
UACGUAGGUGGCAAGCGUUGUCCGGAUUUACUGGGUGUAAAGGGAGCGUAGGCGGGUAACUAAGUCAGGUGUGAAAAUUAAGGGCUUAACCCUUAACGUGCACUUGAAACUGGAAAUCUUGAGUGAAGUAGAGGCAGGCGGAAUUCCGAGUGUAGCGGUGAAAUGCGUAGAUAUUCGGAGGAACACCAGUGGCGAAGGCGGCCUGCUGGGCUUUUACUGACGCUGAAGCUCGAAAGUGUGGGGAGCAAAC